CUCGUCUUCCCCGGAGGCCGCGGUGCCUCAAGGCUGACCUGGCGCCCCCUCCUCGCCCUUCCGCCGCCUCUGAGCUGGGGUUCGGUUUGCGUGCAACGGAGGUGGCGUACGAGGCGAACAAGUCGCUGGUGGUCGAGGACGUGUAGGUGGCGCCGCCGCUGGCCGGCGAGUCUGCGUCAAGGUCCUCUCCACUGUGCUCUGCCACACCAUCUACUACACCUGGAGCGGCAAGGAUCCCGAGGGCCUCUUUCCUUGCAUUCUCGGUGACAAGGCUGCUGGCUGCUGAUAGAAUUGUUGAGAGUGUCGGCGAAGGAGUGACCGACGUGCAGCCAGGGGGACUGCAAGAUGUGCACUAAACCCGAAGGAGCCCGUAUGGAAGGCACCUCCUCUCCAGGCGGUGAGAGCGUUGAGGG
Triticum urartu is the source of this 413-nucleotide non-coding RNA. The record is from RefSeq and is a predicted model, not a curated record. Lineage: Eukaryota; Viridiplantae; Streptophyta; Magnoliopsida; Poales; Poaceae.